This 172-nucleotide ribosomal RNA is filed under the name Gambusia affinis (western mosquitofish). RNAcentral describes it as "partial 12S ribosomal RNA". Lineage: Eukaryota; Metazoa; Chordata; Actinopteri; Cyprinodontiformes; Poeciliidae. The record is from RNAcentral.
CACCGCGGUUAUACGAGAGGCCCAAGUUGAUAAAAUACGGCGUAAAGCGUGGUUAAAAGCCCCCACUAAACUAAGACUAAACCUUUCCAAAGCUGUUAUACGCACCCGGAAAUAUGAAACUCAACUACGAAAGUGGCCUUAAUUUCCCCUUGACCCCACGAAAGCUGCGAAA